Molecule: ribosomal RNA, 798 nt
Filed under: uncultured archaeon
Lineage: Archaea
Description: bacterial SSU rRNA
Rfam family: Archaeal small subunit ribosomal RNA
Source: RNAcentral
GGGUGAAAUCCGUUAAUCCUUGAGGGACCACCAGUAGCGAAGGCGUCUGACCAGACCGGGUCCGACGGUGAGGGACGAAGGCUAGGGUCGCGAACCGGAUUAGAUACCCGGGUAGUCCUAGCUGUAAACGAUGCGGGCCAGGUGUUGGCAUUACUGCGAGUGAUGUCAGUGCCGAAGGGAAGCCGUUAAGCCCGCCAUCUGGGGAGUACGGUCGCAAGGCUGAAACUUAAAGGAAUUGGCGGGGGAGCACCACAACGGGUGGAGCCUGCGGUUCAAUUGGAUUCAACGCCGGGAAACUCACCGGAGGCGACAGCAAGAUGAAGGUCAGGCUGAAGACCUUACCGGAUUAGCUGAGAGGUGGCGCAUGGCCGUCGACAGUUCGUGUCGUGAAACAUCCUGUUAAGUCAGGCAACGGGCGAGACCCGCGCUCACAGUUGCCAGCAUCUCCGUAAGGAGGAUGGGAACUCUGUGAGGACUGCCGCCGCUAAGGUGGAGGAAGAAGCGGGCCACGGUAGGUCAGUAUGCCCCGAAUCCUCCGGGCUACACGCGUGCUACAAUGGAUAGUACAAUGAGUAUCGACCCCGAAAGGGGAAGGCAAACCCCUAAAACUAUCCUUAGUUGGGAUCGAGGGCUGCAACUCGCCCUCGUGAACCUGGAAUCCGUAGUAAUCGCAUCUCAAAAUGGUGCGGUGAAUAUGUCCCUGCUCCUUGCACACACCGCCCGUCAAGCCAGCCGAGUGGGAUUUAGGUGAGGUCAUGUUUUUUGGCAUGCUCGAACCUAAGUCUCGUAAGGGGGGCU